GGAGAUACUGUCUGGCUCGAGGCCGGGAGAGGUGAGAGGUACUUCAGGGGUAGGGGUGAAAUCUUGUAAUCCUUGAAGGCCCCAGUGGUGAAGGCGUCUCACCAGAACGGACCUGACGGCAAGGGACGAAAGCUGGGGGCACGAACCGGAUUAGAUACCCGGGUAGUCCUAGCCGUAAACGAUGCUCGCUAGGUGUCAGGCCAUGGUGCGACCGUUGUCUGGUGCCGUAGGGAAGCCGUGAAGCGAGCCACCUGGGAAGUACGGCCGCAAGGCUGAAACUUAAAGGAAUUGGCGGGGGAGCACCACAACGGGUGGAGCUUGCGGUUUAAUUGGAUUCAACGCCGGACAAUCUUACCGGGGACCGACAGCAAUAUGUAGGCCAGGCUGAAGACUUUGCCUGAUUCGCUGAGAGGUGGUGCAUGGCCGUCGUCAGUUCGUACUGUGAAGCAUCCUGUUAAGUCAGGUAACGAGCGAGACCCA
RNAcentral lists this ribosomal RNA (480 nucleotides) under unidentified archaeon. RNAcentral's name for it is "bacterial SSU rRNA". It matches the Rfam family "Archaeal small subunit ribosomal RNA", at positions 577 to 1054 of the family's 1478-position model. The record is from RNAcentral.